CUUGUAAGCAGGAAUCAGGAGGAUAGAAUUAUUCUCCCUUGCCAAAUGAAGGGCGAGGGAGAGCUUUGUAUGCGUCUCUGUGUGUGGAGUAAUGGUGGUCAGUGAUGAAUAAAUACAUGUCCAUUGGGUUGGAGGAAGAACAAAAUACUGUUUAGGGGGUGUGGGGGGAAUGACCAUAUGGAGAGGAGCAUGACCAUUAGGGGAUGUGGGGACCAAGUGAAAUAAAAACAAAAUUAUAAGAAACAAAUAGAUAAUCUACAUAUUAACAACUGCAACUGUGAUGAAUGUCGUUGGGGUGGGGGAAGAGUAAAAGUCAGUUGAGGGGGGUGUCCAUAGGGGAAGCAGAAUGUAAUAAGUAAAUUUGCUAUCUUGAAAAAUACUGCCAAAUACUAACCAAAUAAAAUGUAUAUAAACAUACUGUAAGUAUAAGUGAUUUUUUUAAAAGGGCUCUGUAGCCAUCUGAGAACUCAGCAAAGGUUUCUAGUUCAGGCUGAACACACAGAUAAAUAUGACAGUUUAUUAAUGUAAUGUAAAACCUGUCGCACACCAGAAUAACGUGUACCUGCACUUACAAUAAACAAUUCCGGACAAGGACAUGGGGGGAACAGAUGGUUAAAUACACAACAUUUAAUGAGGGAAUUGAAACCAGGUGUGUGGGAAGACAAGACAAAACAAAUGGAAAAUGAAAAGUGGAUCGAUGAUGGCUAAAAGACCGGCCGAACGCCGCACGGAAAGGAGAGGAACCGACUUCGGCGGAAGUCGUGACAAUUAAUGUCUGGGUUUGAAAACAUUGACAAAUCUGUUCUUAUAUCAUCGACAACUUAGGAUUUGUUGGUUGAAUUAAGCUACAGUUUUGAAACACGAGAUAUGGUCAAACAAAGAAACACUACAGUAGUGCAACACAAUGAAAAUGUAGGCCUAAUGUCCCAGUUUAAAUUAAUGCGGGAAUUGAUUUUAACUCAUUGGAUAUUUAAAUUGUAGGUAGUAAUGAAUCAUGUUCGUACCAGAAACAUACGUUGUGAGACAGCCAAGCUCACCACAAGAAGUAUACAUCCUCCCUUGUCCUUGUAACAGUCAAGCUGCCUGAUUAGACAAAGUUGCAACAGAAACAUUUAGUAAUACAGUUCUGUAGAUUCUGUCAUUUCCUCCAUCAGUUCUGUACAAUCUGUAAUUUUUUUCCAUCAAAGGAAUUCGACUGCGACCAAUAGUGUUUUCUUGACUGCUUAGUCAUGCAAUCACUGUAUCGUACAGUUAAACAAAUUAUAAUUUAUAUUUAUCACGUACAAGUCUGUAUUGGAUGAUAUGCAAUGUUUUUUUGCAUAUCCCAACUCUCCCUGAGACCCUUGGGAGAGUGGGAUCACAGCCAGGGUUCGCCAUUAUCAACAGCGACCCUGGACAAAUUAGGGUUAAGUACCUUGCUCAAGGGCACAUCGAAAUAGUUUUUCACCUUGUCAGCUCAGGGUUUCGAACUAGCAUCCUUUCAGUUACUGGUCCGAUGCUCUAACUGCCAGGCCACCUGCCGCCCUAAUGCUUUGGUCCAAACUUAAUCAGUGGAACCUUAUCUGAAAAUCCACCUGGAUGGGGACGAUGAUUCCUCAACUGGACUUCAGCAGCUCUGAAUUCCCUCAAACUGUCUUCACAGUUAUGAGGAGGAAAAGGUUGUGCCUAUACAUGGAUUCCCUUAUUCUAACGGUGUUCCCAGACCUCAAGAAACAUUGUAAAGAUGCUGCAGGCUCACAUUAUUGCCCUCACCCUUACAUAUUUUAUUUUCAUCAAAACAAAAGACAGUGUAAUAAUUGCACUCCAACGCAACUAGAAAGAUCACCUCAUUCAUCUAAAUAUCCCUAGUGAUUAUUUUUAUUUCUCAUUAAAAUCUUUGUUUUUUUUUACUGUUUCACUAAACUGUGGAAAUCGGAUGAGGUAAUUAAUAUUAGAUCUUUAUUAUCUGACCUCCAAAUCAUUAAAAAGCAAAAGAGCAAAAUGAAAGACACCAGUUCAGCCUUCUUGAGGAAAGGAGUAUUUGUGGACCACCAACCACCAUAUACAGUAGUCUAUGUAAGCCGAUACUUAUGUAAGCCGAUAAUGUCACAUUUUACCUUCCAGCUAAGACACAUGCAAUAUUUGGUAUGACCUGAUGAGUGUUUUCUUCAUACAGUAUAAGACCGUAAAUAGAAGUGUUCAGGAAAGAGUGGGGACAGUUCGUCAAGUCUCAGUGCUCACUGUUAUGCAAGACAUUAGAGAUGGGAAAUGUCUGAAAAGACAAAGACGGAUCAGGUUAGUCUGUCCUUUUGUGAUACACAUCAUCAAGCAAGAAACAGUGUCAUCACUCAUGCAGAGACAACUGUACAUAUUUCAGUCAGCUGCAAGAGCAUCAAACAGAGUUACUGUCAGUUGUUGUCUAUGGUGAGGCAAGGUUUGUUGCUAUUUGUUCCUGUUGUUACACAUAUUUGUGCUGAUAUGAGGGAUGAGUGAUUUGUAUUGAUUGAUUGAUUGACUUGUAUACAUUCUUUCAAAGGCACAACAUCCAUUUCAAACUGUUAUUUGCACGUAGAAGGUAAACAUGGCACUGUGACACAAAGGUUAUAUUCAUUUACUAGGUAACGUUGUAAACAAACACGGUAAGACUUGUUUCAAAAUAAAGGAUGUAGAAGUAUAUUGGGGGACUGAAAGGGGCAUGUUAGAAGAUAGUGUUUAUGUCACGACUUCCGUAGAAGUUAGUGCCUCUCCUUGUCCGGGCGGUGUUCGGCUCACCGGCUUUCUAGCUGCCACCGAUCUACGUUUCUUUUUCUAUUUCUUUUGUCUUGAUUGUGCACACCUGGUUCCCAUUCCGUUAUAAUUAUUUUCCCUAUUUAACCCUCUGGUUCCCAGUAUGUUUUGUGCAUGUUUGUUCCUUGUUGAGUGUUAUUAGACUGCGGUGUUAUGGUGUGUUUUCCCUGCGUGGAAUUUUAUGGUUGUUUCUUUCCGAGUGAAGUAUGUUAUUUGACUCAGUUCUGUGUCCUGCGCCUGACUGCGUCCUCACCGCUGCACACUGACACAUGACAGUUUAUUAGAAACACAUUCAAAUUAUUAAGAUAUUAGAUCGCAUUCAUUGAGAAGGCCAGGUGAGGAUGGGAGCUGUCACAUCAGUGGGUCAACAGCAGCAGAGGAGUCAGAAGGAUGACCACAGGGGAGGAGGCAAAACCAGGAGAGAAGCCAAGGAUGCUAGAGGUCAACCUUACCUUUGUUUAUUUUGUCAAUGCCCAACUCAUCUUCGAUGUCUUGAAAAGGAAAGAGUCUAUAAUAUUAAUGUAUCUCCUCAAUACUUCUUCUGAUGCCAGAGCCAAACCAUCCCUGACUACAGCCAUUCCUUCUGGAACAACCUCUUAUCUGCAUCAAAACGAUGUCUAAUCUCAUUCUGUGCGUCACCACCAUAGUGGGAUAAGCUGCAAGACGCAGCUUGUUCAAAGAGACUCCCGUCCUGUGUCUUUCCACUGAUUGACUACCUCUCGAUGUCUUCUCAGUUCCCAUCAUAUGGUUCAAUAGACCAUCAUUGUUAAUUGUUUACUCCAUGUGUAACUCUGUGUUGUUGUCUGUGUCACACUGCUAUGCUUUAUCUUGGCCAUCUUGGCUAUCUGGUUAAAUAAAGGUGAAAUAAAAAUCA
Oncorhynchus mykiss (rainbow trout) is the source of this 3640-nucleotide non-coding RNA. NCBI's taxonomy places the organism in Eukaryota, Metazoa, Chordata, Actinopteri, Salmoniformes, Salmonidae. The record is from RefSeq and is a predicted model, not a curated record.